This 253-nucleotide ribosomal RNA is filed under the name uncultured bacterium. RNAcentral's name for it is "partial 16S ribosomal RNA". It matches the Rfam family "Bacterial small subunit ribosomal RNA", at positions 524 to 776 of the family's 1533-position model. The record is from RNAcentral.
UACGUAGGGUGCGAGCGUUAAUCGGAAUUACUGGGCGUAAAGCGUGCGCAGGCGGUGAUGUAAGACAGGUGUGAGAUCCCCGGGCUUAACCUGGGAACUGCAUUUGUGACUGCAUCGCUGGAGUGCGGCAGAGGGGGAUGGAAUUCCGCGUGUAGCAGUGAAAUGCGUAGAGAUGUGGAGGAACACCGAUGGCGAAGGCAGCCCCCUGGGCUAACACUGACGCUCAUGCACGAAAGCGUGGGGAGCAAACAGG